RNAcentral lists this long non-coding RNA (2321 nucleotides) under Capra hircus (goat). Its description in RNAcentral is "lncRNA (ENSCHIG00010010759.1)". Lineage: Eukaryota; Metazoa; Chordata; Mammalia; Artiodactyla; Bovidae. The record is from RNAcentral.
UGCCCUUUGUAAAGAGCCCAGACUGUCCUCAGAUGUCCUCUGGAAUUUGGAGAUGAAACCCACUUCAGACAAAUCACUUAGCCUCUGAGGGCCUCCUCGGUCUUCUCACUUGUGAAAUGGGCCGGUUACAGAAACUGUUAGGUGGGGGCAAGGUGAGUGGCUGCAGAGGGCUUGCACGGGAACCGUCAACAGGUCAGUGGGGAGCAUUGCUGGCGCUCUAGCUCAGUCGGCCGCGUCUCUGGUCCUCAGCGGCUUGUUGCCCCAGCGUGCUGGCUCCCUUUACUGUUUUUUUUUUUUUUUCCUCCCCUAAUAUUUAUUUAUUUGACUGUGCUGGGUCUUAGCUGUAGCAUGUGGAAUCUAGUUCUCUGACCAGGGAUCGAACCUGGGCCCUCUGCAUUGGGAGAGGGGAAGAGCGGAGUCUUAGCCACUGAACCACCAGGGAAGUCCACCCUUUACUGUCUGUUGGCAGGCUGCGAGCUUCUGUGGGGCAGGGGAUGGAUGAGGAGUGCUGGGGGCUGAAGCCUGCUGGGGACCAGGUGGCCUGGAGAAGUCUACUCAGCAGCCCCUGCCUGUGGGGCUCUGUGCCAACGUCCCGAGUCGCAGCUGCCUGGAGUCUGGGAGAGCUGAGCUGGCCUGAGACAGAGGGGCUGGAGAAGGCCCUGGGCACAGUCCCCCAUGACCCCCGUUUUCUCUGCGGCUUUCUCCUGCAGGAGGCGGCAGGGGGCUGGGCUGGAGGCUCACCGUGGGAGUGAGGAAGCUGGUCGCUGGGUUUCUGCACCUGCUCAGGCCUCUCCCAGAGGGUGCCUCACUGCCCCCACCUCUACCUCCAGCGGCAGCACAGGGUGACGGAGGCUCGGCGAGCAGACAUCCACGGCCUGCCUCAGCUCCCCGUCUUCAGGGCCCUGGUGGGUCCCCUUCUCCCACUCCUGGCUUCCCCCAGACAGGAUGUUGUCCUGUUGUCUUGCUCACUGCAGACUCCUGCCUCCCGCCCUGAGUGAGGGCUCCUCCCAGGUGGCCCGCUGCGUCCCCCCUCAGCCCGGCUCAGCCACAGGGGACGGGCCACUUGUCAAACGCUCUUGUUUAAUUUUCCUCGCUCACAGUCUGCUUGUUCCAACACCCUGCAAUGACACGGGUGUUAACCGAGCACCGGGGACUAUAAUUAUCGGGGCUGAGAGACGAGAAGCUCCUGGUGGUGCAGCAGCUGCAGACAGGAGCGCCGCCCAAUCUGUCCCCGGAGAGGAGCCGCUCGGCCGACUCGUGUCUGAAGAGCCGCCGGUUUUGAGCAAACUCUGCUGGGCCUCCUGUCCCUGGAUUUUUGGAGUUGAAUCCAAGAAUGAUGAAGAGUCUGAAAAGCUCCAUCUCCACCUGCUUUGCUGAGGGAACAAGAGGCUGACACUGUCAUCGGAGUGCAAAUGGGGCUCGCCUGUUGUUUGUCACUCUGUAAGUCAAGGCAUGGGAUCACACAGCCAAAAAUCAUAGCCCUGGAUCCAGGCUGUGCAGAGUGUGUGCCCUCACACCCUUCUUGUCCCAUGGGACUUGUGCUGUGAGGCUGCGAAUUGGUACGUGUGUGUUUUCUUUUUUUAAGUUGACUUCUAGAGAAGAAUUUCUGUUUGAGAGUAAAUGACUUGGGAUUGACCGGGGCAGACUAGGUCUCCUGUGGGUGUGGUUGACCCUAGGUGUGGACAUGGAGUCUCUGAGAGGCUUGGAGCCAAGCUCCCCAGAAGCUGGUUGGGAGCUGCUGACCCUGGGUUCCUAGGGUCUCAGUGCCCCAUGUACCCAUGGAGCAGAGUUAAGGUUCCCAGCCUUCUUCCACAUUGAGGUUCUUGCUCUAGAUUGGCAAGGGUGCUUCUUGCAAGGCUACCUCCAGACGCUCAGCUUUCUUCUCUCCGGGGCGCACAAGCUGGCAGAGCAGUGGUUUCUAACCCCCUAGGCUCUGGUUGGGCCAAUUGGUCAGAGUGAACAGCCAACACAUCCUGUCAGUCAGGGGGGCCCCUUUCCUCUCCCCCUGAGUGCUGAGGGUUUCAUCAGCCUUAAUACGGCUAUUGUGGGCCUGAUAGAUGGGAAAGAGGCACCAGCAGGCUGAAAGGGCUGGUGGUGACAGAUUCUGCUGGCAGGAUGCGCAGCUUGGGUGGGGUGUACACAGAGUGGGGUUCGGGCCCAGGUGAAUCAGCACCGGCCCGGGAAGCACAGCGGCGCUGAUGGAUGGCCAGGGUGCUCAGAUGCACCCCUGACACUAUUUGUACAAACAAACAGGGAACUCAAAUGAAUGGGGUUUCACGAGCUUAUAUAAGUCAGUUGGCAACGCAUAGCGCCCCAGCUGU